GAUGAACGCUGACAGAAUGCUUAACACAUGCAAGUCGAUGGGGAAGUGGUGCUUGCACCAUGGCAACCAUGGCGGACGGGUGAGUAACGCGUAAGGGACUUACCUGCAGGACUGGGAUAACAGGGGGAAACUCCUGACAAGACCGGAUAAUGUCAUGGAGCUGCAUGGCUUUAUGAUGAAAGGAGACGCCUGCGGAGAGCCUUGCGUCCUAUUAGCUAGUUGGUGAGGUAAUGGCUCACCAAGGCGAAGAUAGGUAGCCGGCCUGAGAGGGUGGACGGCCACAGGGGGAAGGAGAUACGGCCCUUACUCCUCGGGGAGGAGGCGGUGGGAAAUAUGGAAAAAGGGGGGAAACCCUGACCAAGAAAUUCUGUGGGAAGAAAGAGGUUUUUGGGAUGGAAAAGGGUUUUAAGAAGGAAAAAAGAAAGGGAGGGACCCUAAAAAAGAGGGGAGGGCAAAACCCGCC
This 463-nucleotide ribosomal RNA is filed under the name uncultured bacterium. RNAcentral describes it as "partial 16S ribosomal RNA". It matches the Rfam family "Bacterial small subunit ribosomal RNA", at positions 28 to 507 of the family's 1533-position model. The record is from RNAcentral.